RNAcentral lists this long non-coding RNA (3204 nucleotides) under Ananas comosus (pineapple). RNAcentral describes it as "long non-coding RNA (ACOM_LNC043385)". Lineage: Eukaryota; Viridiplantae; Streptophyta; Magnoliopsida; Poales; Bromeliaceae. The record is from RNAcentral.
UACACAUGAUACUAAGCAAGGAAACAUAUGAGUAGAGUAUAAUAAAAACAACGGGGAUGCAAGCUCAAUACUAUAUAUCAAGAUAUAUAUAUAUAUGCCAGAUAAUAACGAGAGAACAGAGGUAAGAAACCAUCACCGAGCGUGCACCACUGUACCGACGUCGGAUCGAAGUACCCACCUGUACGAAUGCUGCGCCUGUCUCCUGACUGCGAAAGAGCGUCGACCGGACCUAAGGAAAGUCCACCGGGUUAGUGUCUAACCCACAACUAAUAACCACUAAAUCCACAACCUACAAGCAAACCCUUGGGGACCGGUUUCCCAAACCGAUCGUCGUAAUACGCCGGAAGUCCCGUAAUCGCACGGGGACUCCGCCGGAACCCACGAAUUGUCCCGGAACAUACCGACUCGAGCUACGAGUCACCUGCUGCCACUAAACAUAGAUACUCGUGCAUCAUGACAGCAAACACAACUCCUCGUGUCGAAACAAUUAUCGUCGGAUAAUCGUUUCGAUUCGGGUUCCCGGAAGUGUCUAAUUCGACACCGGAACCUACCGUCGCUCACCCGCCAUUUUCGAACCCUCAAGAUGAUGCGAGUGACCAGCCAACAAGGCUCAGCAACAAAACACGGAGCAACCAAACACCGUCGGAAAGAAUCCGAACCGAAAUCGCGUUCUUUCGGCGAAUUUCGCCGAAAAACGCACCGAAAUCAACCUUUCGAUUUCCGCGGAAGCUAACGGAUCAUGGACAAUCAGUCCAGAGGUCAAAAACACUCACGGGCACUGCCCACAGUAGCCACACGAUGCAUAAUUGCAUAAAAGCCCCUCAAUUUACAUAAAAUUCUAUCAUUUUAUGUAAUUUGAGCGAUCAAGCGACUCGUUCACGCAAACCGAGGACUUCCAAAGUCCGCAGAGACACGUACUGACAGGUCUCAACGUACCGGAGUCCGUGCUCACGAUCCGGAGCACAGCGGCUCGCUGUGGGAAGCGCGGGAGCAACCCGAAGGUUCAGCGAACAGCGCGCAGUCAAGGAAGAUCGCGCCGAACAGGACUAACCGGACACUUCUGAUCCAAGGGAAGGUGAGCAUUGUGAUCAGCACUGACCAGCGGUCACCAUGCUCACCGCCGGAGGCAUCGUAACAGCCUCGGAUCGCCGGAAAAACAAGCACAAACCUGAAACAGCAGCCAAAAAGGCUGAAACGGAGUGACGUCGUCAAAACAACGGAACGGGACCUUCCCGACAGAAUCCAAGGUGAGCACGAUGAUCAGAAACUUACCAGGAUCAUCGUGCUCCCUUCCGUAGAGAUCGGGGAAGCUCGGGAAGCCCAGAACAAGAAACCCACUCACUAAGCCUUAUUUCGGGCUUGGCCGGAGCAACCUUGCUCCGGCCGGCCUCCGGCGGCACGGCGGCACGCGCGGGGCCCUGAGUCGGGUGCGGGGGAGGUGAGGAACUCCGUGCUCACCUCGGUUGGCGACGAGAAGCGGCGGCGGCGUCGGCGGAGCAAGCUCGGCCCGCACGAGCUAGGACACGGAUUCCAAGGGAGCUGCGGCCACGACGGCGGCCGGGGUAGGUCGGGGAUGACGACGGCAGGUCCCCAGAGGCCAGAGAAGGAGGAAGGAGGCGGCCUCGAGUGGCGGCGGCGUCGGAGAAGACCGCAACAAAGCCUCGGCCUGGGCUCGGGCUAGGCGGCCGCGGCUGGCCGAGGCGGCGACGGCAGCGCACCGGGGCGGCGGCGACCGACGGGAAGGGAUGCCCGGGCACGGAGGAGGUCGGCGGGAGGGAUUCCAGGUGGUGGCGGCGCGCUGGCGGCAGUGGCAACCCGGCACGGCCAGGGCUCGGCCUGGGCUGGCAGAUGUGGCCCGGGGCGGCAGCGGCGGUGCAGGCAACGGCAGCGGUCGGAGGAGAUGAUCGCCGGAGCACGGGGCGACACCGAGGGAGGGUCCAAAGGUAGCGGUAGUCUCAGGCCUCCUCCCAACCCAAGAGGAGAGAGGGAGAGAGGAAGAGAGGGAGGAGAUAGAGAGGAAGGAUGGAGCAGCCAGCUCCGGCGGCCGGCGGCGUGCUCAGGUGGACGGGGCGCGCGCGGGGAGAGUAGGGGAACGUGGGGGGGGCGGCUAGGGGGCUAGGGCAAAGCUAGGGUUAGGUUAGGUGACUCCAAACCCUAGAGAAUAACUAUAUACUAGGUGCAACUUGCAAGAAAACCCCUCAAACAUCUGAAAUUGAAUCCGAGUCCCUCACGGUACGACUAAAACGCAAGAACGCCCCUCCACGUGCGAUCUCACGAGAAACGGUACAUAAAAUGUCGCGACUUUUGCGAAAUUACCGUUUUGCCAUCACCGACCUCUCCUCGAUCAACGCGCGAUCUCCGCAGAUCCGUCCGUCAGAUUUGCGAACGGAUUGCACCAGUGCGAUCAGCACCUCGGAGACAACCAAGCUACACUUUCGAUUCAUCUCGAUCGACCACGGAUUCACAACAAAAUCCAACCUUCUUCCAAUAGAAGGAAACAUACACACAAAUACAUAUAAAACAUGUAUUUUUGGAUUUUAUCGAAAUCCGUGCGUCAAACUCAAAAUCCAUCAGCGCCAUUAGUUCCAGAAUAGCUGAACCGGUCGAAACGAGCUAUUGGACUGAUAUGAACGGAGUCCGAUACGCACCAGAAGCCAACUCUACUCCGUGGCUUCUCCGGAAAACCAGAGUUACUAUUCACUUAAGUGAAAACUAAAAAUCGCGUAUCUUCUCCAUUUUAGCUCAUUUUCGUCCGAAACUUGACGAGUGCUUAUGUAAUUAAAUUACACACAUAAACAUCAUCAACAGAGAGUUUAGUUGCACUGUCAAAAAUCUCAGUCCUUACAUGUUGGCAGCACGUUUGGGCUGAGGAUAACUUCUGGACUGAUCGUCCAAGGCCCCAAGCCCUUGCGGAAAUCAAAAAGUGGUUUUCGGAGCGUUUUUCGGCGAAAUCCGCCGAUAGAAUGCGUUGUCGAUUCAGAAUUCAUCCGACGAUACCUUGUGGUUGAUUGUAGCGUCGCUGAGCCUUGUAGGCUGGUCACCCGUGCCGUUUCGAGGGUUUGGAAACGACGGGUGAGCGACGGGGGAGUUCUGGUGCGGUUUUCGGGACUUCCGGUUUGUUCGGUAAUCGGCUUUGGGAAACCGGUUCUCGUGGUUUUGGUGAGUGGGGAUUGUGAGUUAGCGUUACAUGUCAGUGGGUUAGAU